UGGGGAAUAUUGCGCAAUGGACGAAAGUCUGACGCAGCGACGCCGCGUGAGGGAUGAAGGUCUUCGGAUCGUAAACCUCUGUCAGAGGGGAAGAAACUACGGGGUGCUAAUCAGCCUCGUACUGACGGUACCCUCAAAGGAAGCACCGGCUAACUCCGUGCCAGCAGCCGCGGUAAUACGGAGGGUGCGAGCGUUAAUCGGAAUCACUGGGCGUAAAGCGCUCGUAGGCUGUUUGUUAAGUCAGAGGUGAAAUCCCACGGCUCAACCGUGGAACUGCCUUUGAUACUGGCAGACUAGAAUCCGGGAGAGGGUGGUGGAAUUCCAGGUGUAGGAGUGAAAUCCGUAGAUAUCUGGAGGAACAUCAGUGGCGAAGGCGACCACCUGGACCGGUAUUGACGCUGAGGAGCGAAAGCGUGGGGAGCAAACA
RNAcentral lists this ribosomal RNA (427 nucleotides) under uncultured Desulfovibrionaceae bacterium. RNAcentral's name for it is "partial 16S ribosomal RNA". It matches the Rfam family "Bacterial small subunit ribosomal RNA", at positions 355 to 774 of the family's 1533-position model. The record is from RNAcentral. Lineage: Bacteria; Pseudomonadati; Thermodesulfobacteriota; Desulfovibrionia; Desulfovibrionales; Desulfovibrionaceae.